UAUGGUCAAGUGAAGAAGCGCAUACGGUGGAUGCCUUGGCAGUCAGAGGCGAUGAAAGACGUGGUAGCCUGCGAAAAGCUUCGGGGAGUCGGCAAACAGACUGUGAUCCGGAGAUGUCUGAAUGGGGGAACCCAGCCAUCAUAAGAUGGUUAUCUUGUACUGAAUACAUAGGUGCAAGAGGCGAACCAGGGGAACUGAAACAUCUAAGUACCCUGAGGAAAAGAAAUCAACCGAGAUUCCCUUAGUAGUGGCGAGCGAACGGGGACCAGCCCUUAAGUUGUAUUGAGAUUAGCGGAACGUUCUGGAAAGGACGGCCAUAGUGGGUGAUAGCCCUGUACGCGAAAAUCCCUUUGCAAUGAAAUCGAGUAGGACGGGGCACGAGAAACCUUGUCUGAAUAUGGGGGGACCAUCCUCCAAGGCUAAAUACUACUGACUGACCGAUAGUGAACCAGUACCGUGAGGGAAAGGCGAAAAGAACCGCGGAGAGCGGAGUGAAAUAGAUCCUGAAACCGUAUGCGUACAAGCAGUGGGAGCCCACUUUGUUGGGUGACUGCGUACCUUUUGUAUAAUGGGUCAGCGACUUAUUUUCAGUGGCGAGCUUAACCGAAUAGGGGAGGCGUAGCGAAAGCGAGUCUUAAUAGGGCGUCUAGUCGCUGGGAAUAGACCCGAAACCGGGCGAUCUAUCCAUGGGCAGGUUGAAGGUUGGGUAACACUAACUGGAGGACCGAACCGACUACCGUUGAAAAGUUAGCGGAUGACCUGUGGAUCGGAGUGAAAGGCUAAUCAAGCUCGGAGAUAGCUGGUUCUCCUCGAAAGCUAUUUAGGUAGCGCCUCAUGUAUCACUGUAGGGGGUAGAGCACUGUUUCGGCUAGGGGGUCAUCCCGACUUACCAAACCGAUGCAAACUCCGAAUACCUACAAGUGCCGAGCAUGGGAGACACACGGCGGGUGCUAACGUCCGUCGUGAAAAGGGAAACAACCCAGACCGUCAGCUAAGGUCCCAAAGUCAUGGUUAAGUGGGAAACGAUGUGGGAAGGCUUAGACAGCUAGGAGGUUGGCUUAGAAGCAGCCACCCUUUAAAGAAAGCGUAAUAGCUCACUAGUCGAGUCGGCCUGCGCGGAAGAUGUAACGGGGCUCAAACCAUGCACCGAAGCUACGGGUAUCAUCUUUUGAUGAUGCGGUAGAGGAGCGUUCUGUAAGCCUGUGAAGGUGAGUUGAGAAGCUUGCUGGAGGUAUCAGAAGUGCGAAUGCUGACAUGAGUAACGACAAUGGGUGUGAAAAACACCCACGCCGAAAGACCAAGGUUUCCUGCGCAACGUUAAUCGACGCAGGGUUAGUCGGUCCCUAAGGCGAGGCUGAAAAGCGUAGUCGAUGGAAAACAGGUUAAUAUUCCUGUACUUCUGGUUAUUGCGAUGGAGGGACGGAGAAGGCUAGGCCAGCCUGGCGUUGGUAGUCCAGGUUUAAGGUGGUAGGCUGAGAUCUUAGGUAAAUCCGGGAUCUUAAGGCCGAGAGCUGAUGACGAGUGUUCUUUUAGAACAUGAAGUGGUUGAUGCCAUGCUUCCAAGAAAAGCUUCUAAGCUUCAGGUAACCAGGAACCGUACCCCAAACCGACACAGGUGGUUGGGUAGAGAAUACCAAGGCGCUUGAGAGAACUCGGGUGAAGGAACUAGGCAAAAUGGCACCGUAACUUCGGGAGAAGGUGCGCCGGUGGAGGUGAAGCAUUUACUGCGUAAGCCCCUGCCGGUCGAAGAUACCAGGCCGCUGCGACUGUUUAUUAAAAACACAGCACUCUGCAAACACGAAAGUGGACGUAUAGGGUGUGACGCCUGCCCGGUGCCGGAAGGUUAAUUGAUGGGGUUAGCGCAAGCGAAGCUCUUGAUCGAAGCCCCGGUAAACGGCGGCCGUAACUAUAACGGUCCUAAGGUAGCGAAAUUCCUUGUCGGGUAAGUUCCGACCUGCACGAAUGGCGUAACGAUGGCGGCGCUGUCUCCACCCGAGACUCAGUGAAAUUGAAAUCGCUGUGAAGAUGCAGUGUAUCCGCGGCUAGACGGAAAGACCCCGUGAACCUUUACUAUAGCUUUGCACUGGACUUUGAAUUUGCUUGUGUAGGAUAGGUGGGAGGCUUUGAAGCGUGGACGCCAGUCUGCGUGGAGCCAACCUUGAAAUACCACCCUGGCAACUUUGAGGUUCUAACUCAGGUCCGUUAUCCGGAUCGAGGACAGUGUAUGGUGGGUAGUUUGACUGGGGCGGUCUCCUCCUAAAGAGUAACGGAGGAGUACGAAGGUGCGCUCAGACCGGUCGGAAAUCGGUCGUAGAGUAUAAAGGCAAAAGCGCGCUUGACUGCGAGACAGACACGUCGAGCAGGUACGAAAGUAGGUCUUAGUGAUCCGGUGGUUCUGUAUGGAAGGGCCAUCGCUCAACGGAUAAAAGGUACUCCGGGGAUAACAGGCUGAUACCGCCCAAGAGUUCAUAUCGACGGCGGUGUUUGGCACCUCGAUGUCGGCUCAUCACAUCCUGGGGCUGAAGCCGGUCCCAAGGGUAUGGCUGUUCGCCAUUUAAAGUGGUACGCGAGCUGGGUUUAGAACGUCGUGAGACAGUUCGGUCCCUAUCUGCCGUGGACGUUUGAGAUUUGAGAGGGGCUGCUCCUAGUACGAGAGGACCGGAGUGGACGAACCUCUGGUGUUCCGGUUGUCACGCCAGUGGCAUUGCCGGGUAGCUAUGUUCGGAAAAGAUAACCGCUGAAAGCAUCUAAGCGGGAAACUUGCCUCAAGAUGAGAUCUCACUGGAACCUUGAGUUCCCUAAAGGGCCGUCGAAGACUACGACGUUGAUAGGUUGGGUGUGUAAGCGCUGUGAGGCGUUGAGCUAACCAAUACUAAUUGCCCGUGAGGCUUGACCAUA
This 2898-nucleotide ribosomal RNA is filed under the name Pseudomonas syringae. Its description in RNAcentral is "bacterial LSU rRNA". It matches the Rfam family "Bacterial large subunit ribosomal RNA". Lineage: Bacteria; Pseudomonadati; Pseudomonadota; Gammaproteobacteria; Pseudomonadales; Pseudomonadaceae. The record is from RNAcentral.